GCAAUGUGUGUGAGAAAACAAACAUGGAGACCAGCGCUGCAAGGUAUGGGAGGCAUUAGAAGACACUGAAACCGUGAUCCUGCUGGAGAAAGGGGAAACAGCUGAGUAUGCUAAAAGUAGGAGCUAAGGAUACUGAGAGACUUUCAAGAUACUGGGAGAACUGACAAGUCUGAAAAUUGGAAAGAUUUUCCUAAAGUGAGUAAACGAUUUCAGAGUGAAAUAACCAUAAUUGAAAAUGUUCUGAUUUCUAAUUUUCCGUAUGUUUGACUAAGCUUAUUGCUUUCACUGCAGAUAUAGUCAUAGUACCAGGAAGGCAGCAGACAUUUAAGAAUUGUGCCUAGCCUUGAGAGACUCUGUUAUAAGGCAUACACAGUUCCCACAGUGUUGUUUUUUUUUUUUUUUUUUUUUCCCCCCUUUAACUACAAUAGUGAAUGAGAGCUUCUGGUUGAUUCUCUGCAAAUACAUUUGAUAUAUUUUAUGCAUAAACACAAUGGAAACUUUUGUCCCUUGGAAUAAAAACUGUGCAUGUGUUCUGUCUUGGCA
This 543-nucleotide long non-coding RNA is filed under the name Anas platyrhynchos platyrhynchos (common mallard). RNAcentral's name for it is "lncRNA (ENSAPLG00000028027.1)". The record is from RNAcentral. Lineage: Eukaryota; Metazoa; Chordata; Aves; Anseriformes; Anatidae.